Molecule: ribosomal RNA, 478 nt
Filed under: uncultured bacterium
Lineage: Bacteria
Description: partial 16S ribosomal RNA
Rfam family: Bacterial small subunit ribosomal RNA
Source: RNAcentral
GACGAACGCUGGCGGCGUGCUUAACACAUGCAAGUCGAGCGGUAAGGCCCUUCGGGGUACACGAGUGGCGAACGGGUGAGUAACACGUGGGUGAUCUGCCCUGCACUUCGGGAUAAGCCUGGGAAACUGGGUCUAAUACCGGAUAGGACCCUGGGAUGCAUGUCCUGGGGUGGAAAGCUUUUGCGGUGUGGGAUGGGCCCGCGGCCUAUCAGCUUGUUGGUGGGGUGAUGGCCUACCAAGGCGACGACGGGUAGCCGGCCUGAGAGGGUGUCCGGCCACACUGGGACUGAGAUACGGCCCAGACUCCUACGGGAGGCAGCAGUGGGGAAUAUUGCACAAUGGGCGCAAGCCUGAUGCAGCGACGCCGCGUGAGGGAUGACGGCCUUCGGGUUGUAAACCUCUUUCAGCACCGACGAAGCGCAAGUGACGGUAGGUGCAGAAGAAGGACCGGCCAACUACGUGCCAGCAGCCGCCGUAA